CUGGCUCUCUAUUAUUUCGGACCCAGGCUUUACAAUGCCCUGUGCCAUUGACCUCUCCCUGUAAAAAGGGUGCAGGUCUCCCCUUUCUAGCUUGUCUUGGGCCGCUGGCACUUGCUGGGCAAAGAGACCACCCUGUCUUGAGGGAAUGGAGGUCUCUCCUCUUCAGCGCUCUUGGCUCUGGCCCAUUGCAAUGUCCCUGGCUUAAGGACCACCCUGUAAGGAGGGUUUGGGUCUCCUUCGCCGUGCUUAUGUAGCCACAAGUCACUUGGACACGCCAGGCAAAAGGACUGCCCUGUCACCAGGGUGUAAGGUCUUAUCCCUCUCAUUCUGAAACUAGCAGAGCCUCUUUGUGCCUGUGACUGAGUGACCCCCCUUUAAGAAGGGUUGAGGUUCUCGUUCUGUUGGUCACAGUAAAUUGCACUCGAAUGAUUUCUACUUGGCUUUUCUGGAUUCUGAAGUGAAAUGUGAUUGGUGUCCUAUGUAGUUCCUGUCCGGGUCACAUGUAACCUGGUGUGGCGAAGGGGCGGCUGUAAGGGGAUGGUGGAGGCCGUGAAAAAUUCAACCCUUUCUUCAAAAAAGCCAAGAAAUCACCAAAGAGAGCUCCCUCUAACUAGGGUGUAGGUCUUUCCCAAGAUUACACUCCCCUUUGAAAGCUAGUUAUAGAAACCAGCCUCUUGAGAGAGUUAAGGAUUUGCCCUUGUAGCUGUCCUGUGCCCGUGGCCUCCUCACGCUCUCAGCCAAGUCAAAGCCCAGCGUAUUCUGCAUCCAGCUGGCCCUGAGUUCUGUUGCAAGCUCUCCUGCCUUCUGCUACGGAUUGGUGCCGAAACCUAGGAACUGGGCAACUCAAAGGACAAAAGGAAGAGGACGACAGAAGCAUCAAAGAACCUGCAGGAGAAGAGAAGAGAAGAGAAGAGAAGAGAAGAGAAGAGAAGAGAAGAGAAGAGAAGAGAAGGCCAGUCGAAAACCACGCACACAUUGCACACAUGGCCCUCCCUGUGGCAUUUACACUUGUCCACGUAGGCUUAAUCCCCCUUGAGGCACCAAGGGAAAGGACCUGUCUGUAAACGGGGAUCAAGGUCCACUCCUUGCCAAGAGAAAUGCUUUAUGGGCCCAUUCCGCACCUGCGGCUGAGUGACCGCCCUUUAAGAAGGGUUGAGGUCUCUGUGGAUUUCAGCUCUUUAGGACCUAGCCUUUAACAUGCCCUGUGCCACUGACCUCUCCCUGUAAGAAGGGUGCGGGUCUCCCCUUUCUAGCUUGUCUUGGGCCGCUGGCACUUGUGGGGCAAAGAGACCACCCUCUCCUGAGGGAACGGAGGUCUCUCCUUUUCAGCGCUCUUGGCUCUGGCCCAUUGAAAUGCCCCUGGCUUAAGGACCACCCUGUAAGGAGGGUUUGGGUUUCCUUCGCCAGCCUUAUUUAGCCACAGGUGACCUUGACAUGCCCGGCAAAAGGACUGCCCUGUAACCGGGGUGUAAGGUCUUAUCCCUCUCGUUCGUAAACUAGGAGAGCCUUUUUGUGCCUGUGGUUGAGUGACCCCCCCUUUAAGAAGAGUCGAGGAGUCUCUGGCUUUCUACUCUUUAGGACCUAGCCUUUAAAAUGCCCUGUGCCAUUGACCUCUCCCUGUAAGAAGGGUGCAGGUCUCCCCUUUCUAGCUUGUCUUGGGCCACUGGCACUUGCUGGGCAAAGAGACCACCCUCUCCUGAGGGAACGGAGGUCUCUCCUCUUCAGCGCUCUUGGCUCUGGCCCAUUGCAAUGUCCCUGGCUUAAGGACCACCCUGUAAGGAGGGUUUGGGUCUCCUUCGCCAUGCUUAUGUAGCCACAAGUCACUUGGACACGCCAGGCAAAAGGACUGCCCUGUCACCAGGGUGUAAGGUCUUAUCCCUCUCAUUCUGAAACUAGGAGAGCCUUUUUGUGCCUGUGGUUGAGUGACCCCCCCUUUAAAUAGGGUUGAGGUUCUACUUCUGUUAGUCGCAGUAAAUUCCCUUAGAAUGAUUUCUAUUUGGCUUUUUUGGGCUUUGACGUGACAUCUGAUUUGUGACCCAUGUCUUUCUUCUCCGGGUCACAUGUAACCUGGUGUGGCGAAGGGGCGGCUGUAAGGGGAUGGUGGAGGCCGUGAAAAAUUCGACCCUUCUUUCCCAGAGAGCCAAGAAAUCGUCCCAAAAUCCAUAUGUCACAAAGUCUGGAACUGAACAGGUGAGGAAGGGGGCUCCUUUCAGAGCCUCCCUUCCAGGCGAUCCUUCCUCCUUUCCUCUUCCCCUGCCCAAUUUACCCUGCCCAGUCAACCUCAGCUUUGAGCCCUUGUUUUAUUCGGCACAAGAAUGACAUUGCUGGACGGCUUAGUGUUAAUCGUAUAGAUUCGGAGAGCUCUGUAAGUUGUGUCCGAAUUCCAGGCCUUUUGUUUCUUUGGUGAGAGACCGAGGUUAUUCCUAGGGUUAUGUUUGAAGUGAUGGAUGUGGCUGUCCUUUCGGAAAUGUGGUGAUGCUCAGCUGGUGUAAGUACGUGGAGUGGUAUUCAGAGCUUGCACGUGGGUGCACCUAACCCUAUUAACAGGACUGUGUCACAAGUAAAGGCUGUCCUUUUUGGUCAAGGUUAGGGGGCACAAAGCUGAAAUUUUCUUGGUGGGGUAGGAAGGUAAGUUGGAAGGGGUGUUGCCGAGGGAUGGAGGAUAUAAUGGUAAUGGGAGACUCGGCGGGAUUCCUCCCUUACCUGUUCAUUUCCAGAUCCUUUCACAUUGGGGACUUCUCCCCCCGCCCACCCGCCCACCCGCUUCUUUAAAGGAGGAAUAUUUUUCUAAAGAAAGGGUGACCGCCCUGUACUCAGGGAUCAGGUCUGUUUCCCUUUUCUCCUCUCUGCACUGGCCCUCUUAAUGCCAAAGUCACUUGGAGGGCAAAGAGACCCCCCUCUACCGAGGGAAUGGAGGUUUCUCCUUGUCCACCCGCUUGGCUACGGCCCUCUGUGAUGCCCCUGGCUUAAAGACCACCCUGUAAGGAGGGUUUGGGUCUCCUUCGCCAUGCUUAUGUAGCCAGAGGUCACGUUGACACGCCGGGCAAAAGGACUGCCCUGUAAGCAGGGUGUAAGGUCUUAAGCCUCUCCUUCCUAAACUAGGAGAGCCUUUUUUUUCGUGCCUGUGGCUGAGUGACCCUCCCUCUAAGAAGGGUCGAGGUCUCUCUGGCUCUCUAUUAUUUAGGACCCAGGCUUUACAAUGCCCUGUGCCAUUGACCUCUCCCUGUAAAAAGGGUGCAGGUCUCCCCUUUCUAGCUUGUCUUGGGCCGCUGGCACUUGCUGGGCAAAGAGACCACCCUGUCUUGAGGGAAUGGAGGUCUCUCCUCUUCAGCGCUCUUGGCUCUGGCCCAUUGCAAUGUCCCUGGCUUAAGGACCACCCUGUAAGGAGGGUUUGGGUCUCCUUCGCCGUGCUUAUGUAGCCACAAGUCACUUGGACACGCCAGGCAAAAGGACUGCCCUGUCACCAGGGUGUAAGGUCUUAUCCCUCUCAUUCUGAAACUAGCAGAGCCUCUUUGUGCCUGUGACUGAGUGACCCCCCUUUAAGAAGGGUUGAGGUUCUCGUUCUGUUGGUCACAGUAAAUUGCACUCGAAUGAUUUCUACUUGGCUUUUCUGGAUUCUGAAGUGAAAUGUGAUUGGUGUCCUAUGUAGUUCCUGUCCGGGUCACAUGUAACCUGGUGUGGCGAAGGGGCGGCUGUAAGGGGAUGGUGGAGGCCGUGAAAAAUUCAACCCUUUCUUCAAAAAAGCCAAGAAAUCACCAAAGAGAGCUCCCUCUAACUAGGGUGUAGGUCUUUCCCAAGAUUACACUCCCCUUUGAAAGCUAGUUAUAGAAACCAGCCUCUUGAGAGAGUUAAGGGUUUGCCCUUGUAGCUGUCCUGUGCCCGUGGCCUCCUCACGCUCUCAGCCAAGUCAAAGCCCAGCGUAUUCUGCAUCCAGCUGGCCCUGAGUUCUGCUGCAAGCUCUCCUGCCUUCUGCUACGGAUUGGUGCCGAAACCUAGGAACUGGGCAACUCAAAGGACAAAAGGAAGAGGACGACAGAAGCAUCAAAGAACCUGCAGGAGAAGAGAAGAGAAGAGAAGAGAAGAGAAGAGAAGAGAAGAGAAGAGAAGAGAAGAGAAGGCCAGUCGAAAACCACGCACACAUUGCACACAUGGCCCUCCCUGUGGCAUUUACACUUGUCCACGUAGGCUUAAUCCCCCUUGAGGCACCAAGGGAAAGGACCUGUCUGUAAACGGGGAUCAAGGUCCACUCCUUGCCAAGAGAAAUGCUUUAUGGGCCCAUUCCGCACCUGCGGCUGAGUGACCGCCCUUUAAGAAGGGUUGAGGUCUCUGUGGAUUUCAGCUCUUUAGGACCUAGCCUUUAACAUGCCCUGUGCCACUGACCUCUCCCUGUAAGAAGGGUGCGGGUCUCCCCUUUCUAGCUUGUCUUGGGCCGCUGGCACUUGUGGGGCAAAGAGACCACCCUCUCCUGAGGGAACGGAGGUCUCUCCUUUUCAGCGCUCUUGGCUCUGGCCCAUUGAAAUGCCCCUGGCUUAAGGACCACCCUGUAAGGAGGGUUUGGGUUUCCUUCGCCAGCCUUAUUUAGCCACAGGUGACCUUGACAUGCCCGGCAAAAGGACUGCCCUGUAACCGGGGUGUAAGGUCUUAUCCCUCUCGUUCGUAAACUAGGAGAGCCUUUUUGUGCCUGUGGUUGAGUGACCCCCCCCUUUAAGAAGAGUCGAGGAGUCUCUGGCUUUCUACUCUUUAGGACCUAGCCUUUAAAAUGCCCUGUGCCAUUGACCUCUCCCUGUAAGAAGGGUGCAGGUCUCCCCUUUCUAGCUUGUCUUGGGCCACUGGCACUUGCUGGGCAAAGAGACCACCCUCUCCUGAGGGAACGGAGGUCUCUCCUCUUCAGCGCUCUUGGCUCUGGCCCAUUGCAAUGUCCCUGGCUUAAGGACCACCCUGUAAGGAGGGUUUGGGUCUCCUUCGCCAUGCUUAUGUAGCCACAAGUCACUUGGACACGCCAGGCAAAAGGACUGCCCUGUCACCAGGGUGUAAGGUCUUAUCCCUCUCAUUCUGAAACUAGGAGAGCCUCUUUGUGCCUGUGGUUGAGUGACCCCCCCUUUAAAUAGGGUUGAGGUUCUACUUCUGUUAGUCGCAGUAAAUUCCCUUAGAAUGAUUUCUAUUUGGCUUUUUUGGGCUUUGACGUGACAUCUGAUUUGUGACCCAUGUCUUUCUUCUCCGGGUCACAUGUAACCUGGUGUGGCGAAGGGGCGGCUGUAAGGGGAUGGUGGAGGCCGUGAAAAAUUCGACCCUUCUUUCCCAGAGAGCCAAGAAAUCGUCCCAAAAUCCAUAUGUCACAAAGUCUGGAACUGAACAGGUGAGGAAGGGGGCUCCUUUCAGAGCCUCCCUUCCAGGCGAUCCUUCCUCCUUUCCUCUUCCCCUGCCCAAUUUACCCUGCCCAGUCAACCUCAGCUUUGAGCCCUUGUUUUAUUCGGCACAAGAAUGACAUUGCUGGACGGCUUAGUGUUAAUCGUA
Long non-coding RNA from Dermochelys coriacea (leatherback sea turtle), 5514 nucleotides. RefSeq lists it as uncharacterized. The record is from RefSeq and is a predicted model, not a curated record. The transcript is spliced from 3 exons. NCBI's taxonomy places the organism in Eukaryota, Metazoa, Chordata, Testudines, Dermochelyidae.